CCUGCGUCUUAGUCGUCUGUAAAUUUUUGAAAUCGACUAGACAUCAAAACAUCAUACAUAAAAACAUCAUACAUAAAAAAUGGCGAUGUGAAGUUGGGCGUUUCACAUAUCCUCUCCCUGGAUAAAGCUAAAUAUUUAUGAAAGUGACGUUGGACGUGUGCACAUAUUGGGUCUAAGAUAAAGCCAGACUUCGUGCUAUUUCUAUUGACCGUGAGAAUUUAGAUACUAUUGUUGGUGUGUAAGGCUGAAACAGAAGAUAUCCAAGGGCCAGGAGGGAGAGAAGCUUCUCUCUAAAGUCGAUUCCAUCAACAUAACCUUACAAAAGCUAUAGCCCUAAGCUAAUUUGCAAUAAUCGUAUAUUGAACCUAUUAGCCAGGGGAAUCCAAUAAAGAGCAUACGACCCUGUGGGUGCUGCCAUCCCCUUCUACACCCACACUUCAACGGACUGAGAAGGGGGUGUGGUCAAUGGGCGGCAUCGAAGUCUCCAUGGAAUGGCACAACACGCGAACGGCGAGCAUGCAAGAGGCAACGAUACAAAACGCUAGCGCAGCGGUGACGAAAACGCUGAAACAACAACUACAUCUACAACUGCAAAAGCCGACAGCAAGUUGAAUGACAUAAACCAUCAACUGACCUUCAACUCUGAGACUGAACCUUAGAAAAAACGAACACAUAGCCUCAUGCAAAUGGGAAUGCGAGAGUGGCGCAUGCAACUUACAGCUUUACAGCUCGUUCGUUGUGGGAAAGAGAUGUCGGGUGAGAGGAAGAGGAAAUCGCCUAAAGCACUGAGCCGUAACGAAAAUUGUUGUUGCAACCAGACCCCCGCUCUCUCUCGCACUAAUACUUCCACAGCCAGUGCACACCACCCCCCUAUCCAACACACCCAUAGCCCCUGUAAUGGGCGGCAGCAGAGGAAGUCGGCGGACAAUUGCGCAUGAUACGCUCCAGAUUCUAGAGGUGGGAGAGUGAAGAGCGAUGAGUCACGACGAACUGAUCGAAAGGUGAUCCCAUAAUGAUCCACUGCUUGUGCAGAUGGUUUUACGAUAGGGGCGGAAAAUGAAACCUGAAAACGGGAGAAGAUGAGACCACCAAAGUACACCCAGUGCCGAUGACGUAAAUUGCCGAUGGAUGCCGAUGAACGGAGCAUGCUCUUGCACUUGGCAGACUGCAACAGCUCUCUGCGAAGAGGACUACAACUACUAUGGAAGGUAGCAGAGCAGAGCGGCCUAUUUCUCGAUGGGCGUUGUACAAUUGAACAGAUAUGUACAUGAUGUUACGAAGGUUGAGGACGGGUGCGAUAGUUACAAGUAAAAUGCACAAAAUGUUCUUAAAACUCACAUCUGGGUCAUUUCUAGGUAUUUAUUAAAUGGUGUUUAAAGUCUCCAGUUUAUUGCUGAAUUUAAAGCAUAAUUUAUAGGCGUUAAAAUCGAAAUCCUUGACGUCAGAUAGUGAAACUAAAGAUUACAUGUGGUCGAAUUAUAGUAAUGUCCUUAACAUUGUAGCACUAACAAACACAAGUUUUGAUAUCAACUCAACCUUUUUUUUUUCCACAAUUAACAUUAAUUUAUUUAUUACUUCUUCGAUAAAUACGGAGGGAACUGCGAUAAAA
Drosophila simulans is the source of this 1609-nucleotide long non-coding RNA. RefSeq lists it as uncharacterized. The record is from RefSeq and is a predicted model, not a curated record. The transcript has 4 exons. NCBI's taxonomy places the organism in Eukaryota, Metazoa, Arthropoda, Insecta, Diptera, Drosophilidae.